GGCAGUGUGGCUCAGUGGAAAGAGCCUGGGCUUUGGAGUCAGAGGUCAUGAGUUCGAAUCCCAGCUUUGCCA
RNAcentral lists this transfer RNA (72 nucleotides) under Ornithorhynchus anatinus (platypus). It matches the Rfam family "tRNA". Rfam says of the family: Transfer RNA (tRNA) molecules are approximately 80 nucleotides in length. Their secondary structure includes four short double-helical elements and three loops (D, anti-codon, and T loops). Lineage: Eukaryota; Metazoa; Chordata; Mammalia; Monotremata; Ornithorhynchidae. The record is from Rfam by way of RNAcentral.